Molecule: non-coding RNA, 914 nt
Filed under: Pristimantis malkini
Lineage: Eukaryota; Metazoa; Chordata; Amphibia; Anura; Strabomantidae
Description: partial 12S ribosomal RNA
Rfam family: Bacterial small subunit ribosomal RNA
Source: RNAcentral
GGUCCCGGCCUUUAAAUCAAUUUAUUCAUAGCUUACACAUGCAAGUCUCCGCACACCCGUGUAAAACACCCUUUACCCCACCUAGGAACAAGGAGCCGAUAUCAGGCACAAUAAUUCGCCCAACACAUCUAGCCAUGCCACACCCACAAGGGUAUACAGCAGUGAUUAACAUUAAAAAUAAACGCCAGUUUGAUUUAGCCAAUGAAUACUAAAGCCGGCUAAUCUGGUGCCAGCCGCCGCGGUUACACCAAGUGGCUCAAAUUGAUUUUACAACGGCGUAAAGCGUGAUAAAAAACAUUUAACUGGGGUUAAACUUAAACUAAGCUGUAAAAAGCUUGUUCUUAAAAAACUCUACCCGAAAAACACCCCAACCCCCUCACAAAUUCACGACAGCUAGAACACAAACUGGGAUUAAAUACCCCACUAUGCCUAGCCGUAAACCUUAAUUUACCCCCCCCCCCGCCAGGGAACUACGAGCAAAGCUUAAAACCCAAAGGACUUGACGGUACCCCACAUCCCCCUAGAGGAGCCUGUUCUAUAAUCGAUACCCCACGCUUAACCCAACCAUUUUUAGUUUUUCAGCCUGUAUACUUCCGUCGCCAGCUCACCGCAUGAGCGAAACUCAGUGGGCUUAACAGUCACCGCCAAUACGUCAGGUCAAAGUGCAGCAAAUAAAAUGGCAAGAAAUGGGCUACACUCUCUAACCUAGAAAAAACGAAAGAUUACAUGAAAUUGUAAUCGGAAGGUGGAUUUAGAAGUAAGAAAAAUUAAAAUAUCUUUCUUAACCCGGCACUGGAGUGUGUACACACCGCCCGUCACCCUCUUCAACAAACCACCCAAGUUCCUAACAACCCCGACAAACCAGAAGAGGUAAGUCGUAACAUGGUAAGUAUACCGGAAGGUGUGCUUGGAAU